ACUACGUGUGUGGUGCUGUGUUGUGCACUGGGAACAGAGCAGUGGGUCAGCUUUCCUAUCCUUCCUGACCACACUGAUGGCUCUUUAAGCCCAUGAAUGAGCAGAAGACAUUCCAGGCAAUCCAACCUGUGCUCAUGUAUUUUUAAACCAUUCAGAAAAAUGAAACACAAUCGCAUUAAACAUCUGAUGCCACUUACACUCUGUCCUGCCCCACUCAAUUAGAAAUCCUGGCUAAAAUAAUUAGACAAAAUACUACAUCAGAAUAAGGUAAAUUAAGGAUAUGAAAGGGAGAAAGAAAAUUCUAUACAAAUAAAUUGAGAGUCUCAGAUCAACUAACAGAACCCAGAAGAGCCCACGGACACUGUAAGGUCAACAUAAAAACAAUAGUAUUCUUAUAUAUAAACACCGACCAAUUAGCAAAGGUAAUGAUAGUAUGGUCAUCUGCAGAUAAUUAGAAUUUUCUUUCUCCCUCUCAUGUUUACCUUAUUGUUAUGUAGUAUUUUGUCUAAAGUAUUCUGUCCCUUGACAUGGCUUUUGAGCCAUUCUGUCCACACCCUCUGGAAACCCUGGAAACCCUCCCUACAGCAGUGUACCCUCACUGGCUCUCUUCUCCCCAUCAUGGCUCCUCUAUUCCUUUCCAGAUCCUGUUCCUGGCACACCCCUGGCUCUCAAUGU
This 675-nucleotide long non-coding RNA is filed under the name Homo sapiens (human). RNAcentral's name for it is "non-protein coding lnc-C5orf49-4:1". The record is from RNAcentral. Lineage: Eukaryota; Metazoa; Chordata; Mammalia; Primates; Hominidae.